RNAcentral lists this unclassified non-coding RNA (270 nucleotides) under uncultured fungus. RNAcentral's name for it is "sequence contains ITS2". Lineage: Eukaryota; Fungi. The record is from RNAcentral.
AACGCACAUUGCGCCCAUUAGUAUUCUAGUGGGCAUGCCUGUCCGAGCGUCAUUUCAACCCUCAAGCACUGGUUUGCUUGGUGUUGGGGCGCCUGUAGUACCUUUUUGUUGUCGCAGGCCCCUGAAAUUCAGUGGCGGACCCGCUGAGGCCCCGAGCGUAGUAGUUUACUUCCUCGCUUAGGGCGCCCCGGAGGGACUCCUGCCGUAAAACCCCCACUGUAAAAUCACAAGGUUGACCUCGGAUCAGGUAGGAAUACCCGCUGAACUUAA